Schistosoma rodhaini is the source of this 45-nucleotide non-coding RNA. Lineage: Eukaryota; Metazoa; Platyhelminthes; Trematoda; Strigeidida; Schistosomatidae. The record is from Rfam.
AUACGGCUGACGAGUCCCAAAUAGGACGAAAACAGCGUCCUGGAU